This 253-nucleotide ribosomal RNA is filed under the name uncultured bacterium. RNAcentral describes it as "partial 16S ribosomal RNA". It matches the Rfam family "Bacterial small subunit ribosomal RNA", at positions 524 to 776 of the family's 1533-position model. The record is from RNAcentral.
UACGGAGGGGGCUAGCGUUGUUCGGAAUUACUGGGCGUAAAGCGCACGUAGGCGGACUGUUAAGUCGGGGGUGAAAUCCCGGGGCUCAACCCCGGAACUGCCUUCGAUACUGGCAGUCUAGAGGACGGUAGAGGCUAGUGGAAUGGCGAGUGUAGAGGUGAAAUUCGUAGAUAUUCGCCGGAACACCAGUGGCGAAGGCGACUGGCUGGACCGUUUCUGACGCUGAGGUGCGAAAGCGUGGGGAGCAAACAGG